UCCUUAGACGUUCUGGGCCGCACGCGCGCUACACUGACGAAGGCAACGAGCUUUCCUUUACCGAAAGGUACGGGUAAUCUUUUGAAACUUCGUCGUGCUGGGGAUAGAUCCUUGCAAUUUUUGAUCUUAAACGAGGAAUGCCUAGUAAGCGCAAGUCAUCAACUUGCGUUGAUUACGUCCCUGCCCUUUGUACACACCGCCCGUCGCUACUACCGAUUGAAUGGUUUAGUGAGGCCUUCGGAUCCGCGACUCGUUUUGUGGAGAAGUUGGACAAACUCAGUCAUUUAGAGGAAGUAAAAGUCGUAACA
RNAcentral lists this ribosomal RNA (308 nucleotides) under uncultured eukaryote. RNAcentral describes it as "partial 18S ribosomal RNA". It matches the Rfam family "Eukaryotic small subunit ribosomal RNA", at positions 1470 to 1796 of the family's 1831-position model. The record is from RNAcentral.